Molecule: long non-coding RNA, 1028 nt
Organism: Vespa crabro (European hornet)
Lineage: Eukaryota; Metazoa; Arthropoda; Insecta; Hymenoptera; Vespidae
Exons: 4
Source: RefSeq, a predicted model, not a curated record
AAGGACAUUCUAUAAGAGCUUGUGUUGUUGCCAAAAGAAUAUUAUAUUAUUGUUUAUGUUAUAAUACAUACUACAUAUACUGCCUGCUACAUAUUGUAUGUAACAUACAUACACAUUUUACAGGUAUAAUACAUAAAAUUCUAUGAGUCGACGAAGUUGGAAAUACAAAGCACAGUGAAGAUCAUGUGUUAUAUUUUGCUGUUUUUCUUAUGUAGUCGAGAAAUGUUAUUGUUAAUGGUUCUCGGAAAUUUGUUUUCGUGUACAACUUUAUGAGAGAUUUGUGCCUGGGAUGAUGUACCAUGGUAUAGGUGACCUCUCCUACUCAGAAUGAUACGAUACCUACACGCAAUAACAUUCUCGGCUAUUCUUCUGUUGCAUUAUGAUUGUAGUUGUUCGUGCAGACAUAGAUGAAUCGAUCUUUGUUUCGAUAAAAUAAUGAAAGAAUUGUGAAGUAGAUUUGUUGUUAAUGUUUUUCAGUUAAUUUAAAUUUGUUUGCGUUUUAUGAUGUUAAAAAACUUUUAUGAAUAUGUCUGUAUGAAUAAUUUGGGUCCAAAGCAGUCAUAGAAUCAAUAUUUGUUCGUAUAAAAUUUUAUUUUUCUUUUUCUCUACAAUCAGAUAUACUGUAGAUACUUAUAUAUAAAACAAGCAAUAGAUAUUCGCGAAUUAAAUUCAUUGUUUGCCUUUUAAUUAUUAAAUAAUUAUUGCUCAUUUGAGUCAGUGCAUCAUGGAAGAUGAUCCAGGACUUAUUACACUUCUGUAGAAGAAUAUUGAUUUGCAUUGACAUUAUGUCAAUGUAUUACAAAUUCAAUCUAAUUAAUUUUCUAUCUACGUCGAUUUAUUGCGUUUUGGACUUAUUACGGAACAGCUUACAUAAAUUUCGAGCUACAACUCGGCGAGUGAACAAAUUUAAGUCUCUUCUGUAUAUAUUAUGUCGAGGAUGAAAGAUUCGACUUGAUAUGAAUUACUAGUUGUAAUUUUUUCUAUUAAUUGUUGACGAAUAGCCAUUAAUAAUUAACUUUUUGGAUUUA